AGAAGCCAAUCAAACGCCGGGGAGGCGGGGCAAGCGCCUGAAGCGGACCGACUAUAUAAAACCGCAUGUCGGCAACAUUCACUCCGCAGGCGGCCGAAAGGUUCUCUCACCCGGGUGGGGCUCCCCCCCCCGCUGUUCUAACCCUAAUUAGCCGUUAACGGCUCUCGCUCACAUUCGCUGUUUUGACCGUUGACUUUCAGCGAUUCGAAUUCUUUUUUCAAAAAACGUCACCCGUGUAAUGGGGAGGUGCCUUCUCCUCCGCCUGCCGCGCCUUCUCGCCCAACUCCUUUCUCCUGAAGCGGCCAGAGCCCGACCCCCGGUGAAGAGGCCGCGGUCAGCCUGGCCCUGGGCCGCUGCUGCCGCGAAGGGUUCGGCCCUGUCAGCCUUGGGGAGCGGCGCGGCCGGCUGAAGGGCGGUUGAGGAGCUUGGGGGCGGGGACCGGCGCGAGAGCAAAACAAACCAACCGGGCGGUGCUGCGGUUCCCCGCGAGCCGGUGCCGCGCGCUCCUGAGCAGUGGGGCGCGCGGCCGACGCUGCCCGGACACACAAAGCUGUUGCUAUUGCUAUUAUCUGCCCUCUUCCCCCCACCCCACCUCACCUACUCGAAAGGGGAGGAGGGAAGGAGCUGAUGGUGGAGGCGAGCGCGGAAUAAAUGCGCCUUAAGAAGCAAUGCGAGGAGAAAGUUGUGCCCUUGGCCCCUCAAGUUUGGCUUAAAAGAAGCCCCACGCCCACCAUGGACUAUAGAGUUUAAGGGAGGGAGGCUCUGUUGGUGCACGGUGAUCUGAGGAGCUUCUGAGAGAGGAGAAGACAGCUACUAAUGAGAUUAAUUCAUUGGAG
This is a long non-coding RNA of Podarcis muralis (Common wall lizard), 836 nucleotides long. RefSeq lists it as uncharacterized. Lineage: Eukaryota; Metazoa; Chordata; Lepidosauria; Squamata; Lacertidae. The record is from RefSeq and is a predicted model, not a curated record.